Homo sapiens (human) is the source of this 241-nucleotide long non-coding RNA. RefSeq lists it as uncharacterized. The transcript has 2 exons. The record is from RefSeq and is a predicted model, not a curated record. NCBI's taxonomy places the organism in Eukaryota, Metazoa, Chordata, Mammalia, Primates, Hominidae.
CAAGCAAAUGCUUGGAAUAAAAAGAAAGAAUUACAUUGAAUCUUUUAAAAGACUCAGUUUUCCAACCUGGGCUGGCUAAGCAGCAGCCUGAAGGAACUAAGACAGCCCUGCAUGACCUGGCCGCUGCCUGCUAUUCCAGGAUUCUCUCCUGCAGCUUCUCGCCUCGUUUAUUCUCUAGUAAUGCAGAAUAGCAUGUGGCUCUACCCAUGUUCUGACAGACUGAAUAAAUACUGAAAGAAUG